AUGAGGAGGUUCUUGAUUGAUAGAGCAAGCAAUGAAAAUGUGAAUGGUGUGCAAUCAGAAAUAGAAGUGGAGGCACAACCACCUCCUAACAUUGGCAAUGAAUUUAAUCCAAAUGAUAUUGAGCGUGAUCCAGGAAAGAGGAAACAAAUUUGUGAGUACAUCUCCUUAAUUGUGACUACAACAAGUUCAUCUUGCAAGAGAAGGGAUGAAUUGACAGAGGCACAACACCAAGAUAUUCUGCACAGACUUGAGAGUGGCGAGAUAUCUACAGGAAGGGGCUUGCACCAAUCAUCUACUCUUGCUAGGCCAGGUGAUACUAGAUGGGGUUCC
Molecule: ribosomal RNA, 330 nt
Filed under: Triticum aestivum (bread wheat)
Lineage: Eukaryota; Viridiplantae; Streptophyta; Magnoliopsida; Poales; Poaceae
Description: partial small subunit ribosomal RNA
Source: RNAcentral